This 384-nucleotide ribosomal RNA is filed under the name uncultured Staphylococcus sp. Its description in RNAcentral is "bacterial SSU rRNA". It matches the Rfam family "Bacterial small subunit ribosomal RNA", at positions 73 to 449 of the family's 1533-position model. Lineage: Bacteria; Bacillati; Bacillota; Bacilli; Caryophanales; Staphylococcaceae. The record is from RNAcentral.
GAGGAGCUUGCUCCUCUGACGUUAGCGGCGGACGGGUGAGUAACACGUGGAUAACCUACCUAUAAGACUGGGAUAACUUCGGGAAACCGGAGCUAAUACCGGAUAAUAUAUUGAACCGCAUGGUUCAAUAGUGAAAGACGGUUUUGCUGUCACUUAUAGAUGGAUCCGCGCCGCAUUAGCUAGUUGGUAAGGUAACGGCUUACCAAGGCAACGAUGCGUAGCCGACCUGAGAGGGUGAUCGGCCACACUGGAACUGAGACACGGUCCAGACUCCUACGGGAGGCAGCAGUAGGGAAUCUUCCGCAAUGGGCGAAAGCCUGACGGAGCAACGCCGCGUGAGUGAUGAAGGUCUUCGGAUCGUAAAACUCUGUUAUUAGGGAAGAA